RNAcentral lists this ribosomal RNA (427 nucleotides) under uncultured bacterium. RNAcentral's name for it is "bacterial SSU rRNA". It matches the Rfam family "Bacterial small subunit ribosomal RNA", at positions 354 to 796 of the family's 1533-position model. The record is from RNAcentral.
GUGGGGGAUAUUGCACAAUGGAGGGAACUCUGAUGCAGCGACGCCGCGUGAAGGAAGAAGGCCUUCGGGUCGUAAACUUCUGUCCUUGGGGAAGAAAGAAAUGACGGUACCCUUGGAGGAAGCCCCGGCUAACUACGUGCCAGCAGCCGCGGUAACACGUAGGGGGCGAGCGUUAUCCGGAAUUACUGGGCGUAAAGAGUGCGUAGGUGGCUUUUUAAGCGCGGGGUCUAAGGCUAUGGCCUAACCAUAGUCCGCCCUGCGAACUGGAGAGCUUGAGUACAGGAGGGGAAAGCGGAAUUCCUAGUGUAGCGGUGAAAUGCGUAGAUAUUAGGAGGAACACCAGUGGCGAAGGCGGCUUUCUGGACUGAAACUGACACUGAGGCACGAAAGCGUGGGUAGCAAACAGGAUUAGAAACCCUAGUAGUCC